Molecule: non-coding RNA, 115 nt
Filed under: Phaseolus vulgaris (common bean)
Lineage: Eukaryota; Viridiplantae; Streptophyta; Magnoliopsida; Fabales; Fabaceae
Source: Rfam by way of RNAcentral
GAAUGCUUAGGAAACGAAUGAGAUUAGAUACCUUAAUAAUUUUAUCCGUAAACGAUGAAUACUAAACGUUGUGUAUAUGAACCAGUGGAAUGUUGUAGCUAUGCGUUAAGUAUUC